Capra hircus (goat) is the source of this 395-nucleotide long non-coding RNA. RefSeq lists it as uncharacterized. The record is from RefSeq and is a predicted model, not a curated record. NCBI's taxonomy places the organism in Eukaryota, Metazoa, Chordata, Mammalia, Artiodactyla, Bovidae. The transcript is spliced from 2 exons.
CUUGUCUCUUAGAUUUUCUGCACUGGCAGGAGAGUUCUUUACCACUGACACCACCUGGGAAGCCCACAGAUGUCACAUGUAUGAUAUGCAUGCAUGAGGAGGCCUGGUGUCAAAAGUGGCUGUUCCAGCUUUGUGCCUGGAGUGAACUUCCUAGGCUUUGAGCCCCAGAUCAUUUGUUUUCCCUGUUUUCAGUAAAGGUGUCACUGUGAGCUGAAGGUUGUGUGGGGCCCGUGCGUCCCCUGCCCGUUGGGAGUGCUGGGAGAAUGCGGCAUCUGAACCAGCCUUAACCCAAGUGCCCUUGCAGUGCUGUCCGUGGCUGUAGCCAAGAGGAGUUUCCAGUGUCUGGAAACAGUUGCUUUGAAGCUAACACCACAAGUUAAAGGCCUUUAGCUCCA